GCCGUCGUAGCUCAGUGGGUAGAGCGCCAAAAUACCUUCUCCGACACCUCGUCCGAGUCGGGCCGAUAGGGGAAGGUUAUCAUUCUCCAUGAGGUGGACACGGGUUCGAAUCCCGUCGAUGGCA
RNAcentral lists this transfer RNA (124 nucleotides) under Polyangium mundeleinium. RNAcentral describes it as "tRNA-OTHER". It matches the Rfam family "tRNA". Rfam says of the family: Transfer RNA (tRNA) molecules are approximately 80 nucleotides in length. Their secondary structure includes four short double-helical elements and three loops (D, anti-codon, and T loops). Lineage: Bacteria; Pseudomonadati; Myxococcota; Polyangiales; Polyangiaceae. The record is from RNAcentral.